This 71-nucleotide transfer RNA is filed under the name Typhlodessus monteithi. RNAcentral's name for it is "tRNA-Val". Lineage: Eukaryota; Metazoa; Arthropoda; Insecta; Coleoptera; Dytiscidae. The record is from RNAcentral.
CAAAUUAGAGCUUGAUUAGGAAAGCAUUUUAUUUACAUUAAAAAGUUAUUGUGCAAAUCAAUUUAGUUUGA